This 305-nucleotide ribosomal RNA is filed under the name Acanthamoeba sp. OSC7. RNAcentral's name for it is "SSU rRNA". It matches the Rfam family "Eukaryotic small subunit ribosomal RNA", at positions 828 to 1116 of the family's 1831-position model. Lineage: Eukaryota; Discosea; Longamoebia; Acanthamoebidae. The record is from RNAcentral.
UAUUUUCAGUUGGUUUGGCAGCGCGAGGACUAGGGUAAUGAUUAAUAGGGAUAGUUGGGGGCAUUAAUAUUUAAUUGUCAGAGGUGAAAUUCUUGGAUUUAUGAAAGAUUAACUUCUGCGAAAGCAUCUGCCAAGGAUGUUUUCAUUAAUCAAGAACGAAAGUUAGGGGAUCGAAGACGAUCAGAUACCGUCGUAGUCUUAACCAUAAACGAUGCCGACCAGCGAUUAGGAGACGUUGAAUACAAAACACCACCAUCGGUGCGGUCGUCCUUGGCGUCGGUCUUUCGGGGCCGGCGCGGGGACGG